Frieseomelitta varia is the source of this 1911-nucleotide long non-coding RNA. RefSeq lists it as uncharacterized. Lineage: Eukaryota; Metazoa; Arthropoda; Insecta; Hymenoptera; Apidae. The transcript has 3 exons. The record is from RefSeq and is a predicted model, not a curated record.
AAACUUCCUUAUAGUAUCACCAGGUGGCGAUGCUUUCACUGUUUCAGUACUCCCAUAAAUUUUAUAAAUUUUUGUCCGUGUUUAGUUUUAAGAAAAUUAGCAAAUUGUAACUAUUCAGUUUACAAAGUUUUAUUUCAAACUUUUGCAUAAAAUGAUUUAAAAGUAAUUGAAAUUGACUGUAUAUAAAAUAGUGUGUAACAGAAUCAUUUGCGUAUAAUAGAAUUCCUAUUAUUGGAAUGUUAAUAUGCAUGUUAAAACUUGAAAGAUUAAUUUUUGGAGGUUAAUGAAUUUUUAUUAAACAUCUGAAUGAUAUAACAGUGAGGGAAAAGAGAAAUUUCGUUAAUUUGCAGUAAAAUAGAUUGGUGAGAUCGGGCCACGGACGUAUUCGACAGGAUUGGACCAGCCUCUGACGUCAUUGCGUGGACCGACGUAUCUCGUCGACGAUUGUCGAAAGCAUGCUGUUCUUGCGCUUCUAUAUAUCCACCUACAGCAAUCAGCGGCAAAUUCAAACACACGAUAAAGAGCUGCUGUGUUUCUAAUACUGCUCGUAAGAACAUAAAAUACCCGAAAGAGAACAAUAAUCGACCUCGCUCAAGAUGAAUGACAUCGAAGUCUGCGUAAGCGGCUACGUGCUCCGAUGUUGAGGAACAUCAGCAAGGGCGCUAGCCGCAGAAAACAGUAGAGGUUAGGUACGGCCAGGACGGUACGUUCCAGGCAGUGGAGAGAAGAGUACCCGGAGAGAGCACCCGGGCCGGGUAGGUAGGUAGAUAUACAUAGGUAGGUAGAGCGCAGAGGCAGACGAGAAGAGACGACCGCUUGAAAUCCCUUUCUCCUUCCCGCCUUUCCUGCCUGCUUCUCUCUACCGCCCGUCCGCCAUGCCACUACGAGCGAGCGAACGUACAGCUAGGCCGGCACAGUCCUGUAGCCCAUUUGGCAUUUCCCCAGCUAUAGCGGCGGUCCUGUAGCCCAUCGUUGUUAUCGUCCCGCAGCUGCAUAAAGUCGGCUCUACCUCCCCUUACCCCUCUGACCCUCUCCCAUGCUGUCGACCAACCACCCGUCCACUCCCCUCCUCAUUCUGUUUCGCUCACCUCGCUGCUCGACAUCAACGUUUCUUCCUCUAUCUCUCUCUCUUUCUCUCUCUUCCCUUCUCUCUCUCUAUUCUUCCUUCUCUCACCAGCCUGCCGACCUGAUCGUGUUGCCCUCCUUCCUCCCCCCAGUCGUACCGACGCUUCGACCAAUCCCCUUCCUUGUCGCCCCAUGAGCUCUCGUUGUCCGCCGUUCACUUCUCUCUCCCACGAGCCUGCCAGCCUGACGUUUCCCCCACUAUGUUCCUACUACCACCAACGUAUCCUUAUUCUACAUCGUUACCACUAACUCGCACACAGAUAUACCAUCAGCAGCAUUGGUACCACGUUUCUACAGCGACGCAACGGUGGCGCCGCCAGACAGGGACGCCUCGAAACGUUUUUACCCUCCCCCCUCUCUCUCCGCCCGUCUGAUCCAACUCCAUAUACCGCCGACGACGCCUGAUGCUGCUGUGCUGCGGUAUAUACUCGCGCACCGUCCUUGUCGUUCUAUCGAUUCCCUCCCUUCCUCCUUCCUCUCUUACCCAACCCCUUCUCAUCCUACUCGUCAUGUGCCCCCUCUUUCGCUUUUCUCUCUGCGUCUCACUGGCAGCCAACUUGCCUGUCUGCUUGCCUGGCUUGCCUGACUGCCUUGCUCGUUUACUUACUUGCUUGCAUGCUAGUCUGCCUGCUAGGUUGCUAGCCUGCUUGCUUGGCCCGCUUGCUUCGUUCAACCUCUGCGUCGGUAACCUUGGUGGAGAAUAACCCGCCGUUCAAUUCAAGGAAUUAUGACGGCCUCUCGAUUUUUUCUUUUUCUAUUUGCUAGCCCCUCUUUUUCGUUCUUUGU